This 576-nucleotide unclassified non-coding RNA is filed under the name Hevea brasiliensis (rubber tree). The record is from RNAcentral. Lineage: Eukaryota; Viridiplantae; Streptophyta; Magnoliopsida; Malpighiales; Euphorbiaceae.
AUCUCCAUCAUCAUCAUCAUCUUCUUCAAGACUUCCAAUGUUCUCUUCUUCUCCAUCCUCAUUAUAGUGAUCUCCUCUUUCUCAUCAAAACCACUCCUCAAUCUCUUCUUCAUCCUCAUCUCUAAGUUAUAGAAGAGUAUUGGCUUUCAAAUUAGAAGGUGAUGCUUUUGCAAUUUCCUUAGGCCUAACACUUGAAGUGGAUGUAGGCAGAACAUUUUUGUCUUUUGUUGCUCUAGUACUAUAGAUAUUCUCUUCAACUCCAAUAGCUUUAGCAACCACGCCCCAAGUUAAAUUAUCAUCUCCAAACACAACUUCAUCCUCAUCAUCCAAGCGGAAAUUGAUUCGGUAAACUCAAUUUUGCUUAUUCUGUUCAAAGAAGAAAAUAAAACCCUAAGCUUUUGACUUUCAAUUUGAUAUUUCUUAAUUAUUUGUGUGAUUUGGUGUGGAUGAGCCUAUGGUAAGCUGAUUGGUAAAGUAGACCAAAUGAUGGAGAUUUUAGUGUGGGAGAUAGUCGUUUCAUUAUUGUUUGGUUCAGAAAUUAAUUCGAGGCCAAAUUUUCUCGAAAGUGUGGGUGAA